GUUGAAGUGGUAGAAUGAAAUGCGUCGGAUUUAAGCUCCGGAGGUAGGGUUUACCCUCUUUAACA
RNAcentral lists this transfer RNA (65 nucleotides) under Neoteredo reynei. Its description in RNAcentral is "tRNA-Leu". It matches the Rfam family "tRNA". Rfam says of the family: Transfer RNA (tRNA) molecules are approximately 80 nucleotides in length. Their secondary structure includes four short double-helical elements and three loops (D, anti-codon, and T loops). The record is from RNAcentral. Lineage: Eukaryota; Metazoa; Mollusca; Bivalvia; Myida; Teredinidae.